This is a long non-coding RNA of Chroicocephalus ridibundus (black-headed gull), 2830 nucleotides long. RefSeq lists it as uncharacterized. The record is from RefSeq and is a predicted model, not a curated record. The transcript is spliced from 3 exons. Lineage: Eukaryota; Metazoa; Chordata; Aves; Charadriiformes; Laridae.
CUUGAUGAUCUUAAAGGUCCCUUCCAACCUCAGCGAUUCUAUGAUUCUAUGAUUUGAAGGUCUCUUGCUUUCCAGACACCUGUGCCAGUGGGUGGAACGGGUUGCUGAAAUUGAGCAGCCUUAUUUUGGCUGUCUUUGGUGGGAGGUCUCCAUGGCGAAGAUGCUCCGAAGAUGCAUCCCAAGUAGGACCAGCCAGGUGGAUAAAGCAGAGCUGCUUAAAGAUGGGACGGCGGAGGAACAGGGAGGGAUUUUUUUUGGCGGCAGCUUGCAGAGAAGCAGGGACCUCUGGUACUGUAAUGCCUGAGCGUUUAACCCGUGCCAGUUUGUGUGAAGAAACCCCUCAAAGUCUCCUGUGCCCAUCCUGGUCCUGUGGGUUUGUUGCCCAGCAGUGGAGCUGUGGAGGAAUUAGAUAUAAACCCCAAAGUGCUCUUGCUAGUAACCUGGAUCAGUGGGGAAGCGAGGAGCAAUUUUGUUAUUUUUGAACCGUCUUCUGCAGUCACACGGGAAAAGCUUUUCUCACCAUGCAGCAAGGAAAUGUAGGAAAUGUUCCUUUUUCUUUUGCUCGAUUCAGGUCCAUCUAAUCAGCUCCACCUACACAGUGGCGGUAUAGCCAGUUCUCACACGCUUCCUAAUAGCCAUCUGCCUGUGCAAUUAAUGGCUUGUCUGCUUUUGCCGUAGCUUGGAGGAAAAGACCGAACAAGAGCUUUGAGUAUUUGCUUAAAAUAUCUGAAGUGUCCGUGUGGAUGCUCCGGGAUGGAUCGUCAGUGCUGGCGACGAACAACCCCCACUUUCCCACAUUGUAAAAAAUUACAGAGCAACUGGCCUUUUCCAUCAUGCCCUUCAAACAGGGCAGGUUUCCCACCUGCCGUGUGAAAAAUUAACAGCUGUGGCAACAUAAUAUUCCUAAAAUACUCACUUCCAAGAGCUGAACGCGAGGCUUUUGGUGUUGGUUUGAGAGGUACGAUGGCUGGCAUCCCGGCUUCCUCGCCGGCGAAGUCGGUAGGUGGGGAGAGAUGCAGAAAACAGCUCUGGAACGAAGUGCUUCCAACUGUUUAAGAACCAGAGUGGAGGUGUUUGGCAGAUCCCAGAGGUAAAUUUGGUUUGUGUCAAGAAUCAAUAUUUCCCAAGACGGCAAAUAAAGACCCGUACAAGCUUUCCCUAGCAGCUCCCAGCAGCCGAGGGGACAGGGAUGGUCAUCGAGGGAGGAUGGAGCCACCACCCACCGAGCUGCUGGUGCUCAACAGCCUUAAGUCCUGUCCCAUCUUAGCAUGGAUGCAUCGAUCUGGAGGAAGACCAGCCCGGCUCCCUGCCAGCCUCCUGUUACUCCCAUGCAUUACAAAAACAUAUGCAUUCUUUCCUCCACGGCUGUUUUUGACCCAGCUGAUGCUCUUUGGUGCCGCACUGCCUCCAAAAGUGGGGUGGCCAUGCCUGAGCACCUGGGGAGCCACGGCAGGACACCAGCACGGUGAAAUGAACCCGUAUUUGGAUUAGACAGCCUGGCUGUAAAAAUGGGCUUGAUCUUGCAUUUGAUUACCAGAGCGUUCCAAGGUACAAGGUGAGCUCAAACUAAAGUGUGCAAAAGCAAGGCGAGAAAGCGGACCUAACUGGCGACGGUGCUCGAGGGGAGGAUGCCACAUCUUGUCCCUCAGCCAUCAGCAGGUCCCUUGGGUUGAACAUAAGCUGCUUCUGUGGUAGCUGAAGGACCUUCUGCAGAACAUCGGCCCUGUGAUACUACCCUGCAAGGUGGGCAGGUGGGGAUGUGCCUGCGCAUGUAUACGCAUACGCUGGUCCCAAAAGGAGCCGGGCCAGGAACGUAGGGCUUGCUGCAAGCACCGCAUCUGUGAUACACGCAAUCUGUUUCCUUUCGUCACAUGUGACUUCAUUUUCCAGUCUCCUCCACCUCUGGGUACUGAGGCUUCAGCCAUUGCCUGUCUAACUUUGCCUACAUCUCCACAGGCUGGAUUUCGUCAUCUGCAAGGAGACCCCCCUCCUCUCCCGUUCCUGUGAAGGAGGGAAAGGGAGACAGCAUAAGCACUCUCCUGCUUAUUUAUUUGGGACAUAAUGUUGCACCCGACUGAGCUCACCUCAAGCUGGGACGUGCAGCAGCUGGAGCUCCAGAAAAAGGCGUCCUGUAACGUCAGGCAAGUGUAACCGGGAAAAGCCGCACAGGGAGAAGCUGCGCAGGAGCAGCGAAAGGCUGCGGUGAAAUCUCCCCAUCCUCCCUCGUCCCAGCUCCGGUCUUCAGACAACAAAUUUUUACCUCAAGUACAGCUGGACGCUGAAAUGAGAAGCUCAGGAAAAGCAAGACACCAGCGAGGCAAAGACGGGGAGCACCCGGCAACGGUGACACCCUGCCAUGGGCCACCCCUGGUGCGCCGACAGGCAUCUCCCACCAGCCCAAAGCCUGGCACCCACGCCCACGUUGAUGCUGCCUGCAACACCCAAUUCCCUUUUCCCACCAAGUCAGGCCCCUGGCAAGGUUCGCGGGUGCCACAGGUAGGUGAGGAGCAUCUCCUGUGGGCAAAUAUCCCGGUACCCACCGCUGUGCCCCCCCGUGGGGUGUCCCCUUCCUGACGAGUCUCAUCUGUCCCUGUCACCAAACCACUUAGGGAGCAGAGCAUGUGUCCCUCCUGCCACCCUCCCCUCCACCCAAACAGCCACUGCCGCCGCUGGGGCAAGGAAAGCCCCAGAGCUACGUGCCCAUCAGCGCCAGCCAUGCAGCGUUUUCCAGUCCCGGGUGUUAAAACCACCCACUUCACACUGAACCGUCACUGAAGGAAAUGCACAAUUUUUCCUCAGUCCAAGGAAUGGGGUCUCCUGCUUUCCACGU